GUCCACGCCGUAAACGAUGAGAACUAGGUGCAGCGGAUAUUGACCUCUGCUGUGCCGUAGCUAACGCGUUAAGUUCUCCGCCUGGGGAGUACGGCCGCAAGGCUAAAACUCAAAGGAAUUGACGGGGGCCCGCACAAGCAGUGGAGCAUGUGGUUUAAUUCGAAGCAACGCGCAGAACCUUACCAGGGCUAGAAAAACGGAGAAUCCUGACGAAACUCGGGAGUGCUCGCAAGAGAACUCCGGUCCAGGUGCUGCAUGGCU
Molecule: ribosomal RNA, 261 nt
Filed under: uncultured bacterium
Lineage: Bacteria
Description: partial 16S ribosomal RNA
Rfam family: Bacterial small subunit ribosomal RNA
Source: RNAcentral